GCCCAGGUGGCGGAACUGGUAGACGCGCGGGACUCAAAAUCCCGUUCUGGCAACAGAGUGCGAGUUCGAUUCUCGCCCUGGGCACAA
The sequence is a transfer RNA, 87 nucleotides long. It matches the Rfam family "tRNA". From Rfam's summary of the family: Transfer RNA (tRNA) molecules are approximately 80 nucleotides in length.